UACCAGCACCCCGAGCGGUCGGGACGUUUAUUGGGCCUAAAGCAUCCGUAGCCGGUUCUACAAGUCUUCCGUUAAAUCCAGCUGCUUAACAGAUGGGCUGCGGAAGAUACUAUGGAGCUAGGAGGCGGGAGAGGCAAGCGGUACUCGAUGGGUAGGGGUAAAAUCCGUUGAUCCGUUGAAGACCACCAGUGGCGAAGGCGGCUUGCCAGAACGCACUCGACGGUGAGGGAUGAAAGCUGGGGGAGCAAACCGG
This 253-nucleotide ribosomal RNA is filed under the name uncultured bacterium. RNAcentral's name for it is "partial 16S ribosomal RNA". It matches the Rfam family "Archaeal small subunit ribosomal RNA", at positions 474 to 727 of the family's 1478-position model. The record is from RNAcentral.